UAAUCCUACGGGAGGCAGCAGUGGGGUAAAUUGGGCCAAGGGGGGAAACCUGAUCCCAGCAUGCCGCGUAAUGAAGAAGGCCGCAUGGUUGUAAAACUCUUGAAGCGAGGAGGAGGCUCCUGUAGUUAAAACUAGAGAUAGUGACGUACUCGCGCGAGCCGGCGGG
Molecule: ribosomal RNA, 166 nt
Filed under: uncultured bacterium
Lineage: Bacteria
Description: partial 16S ribosomal RNA
Source: RNAcentral